RNAcentral lists this non-coding RNA (166 nucleotides) under Rhizobium leguminosarum. Its description in RNAcentral is "sRNA CI27". It matches the Rfam family "Brucella sRNA CI27". Lineage: Bacteria; Pseudomonadati; Pseudomonadota; Alphaproteobacteria; Hyphomicrobiales; Rhizobiaceae. The record is from RNAcentral.
CUCCAAAUUAGUGCAUGUCGCCCGGAAGUGUGCAGCGGUUCCUGGACAACGACAUGCAUCCAAACAAAGGGUUAAAGCGCGUCGCAUGAAUCAGAUUUGACGCGAUGCGCUUUAGCAGGCGGGCAUGGCCGGCAGGAAUGCUGCCGGCCGCAUAAGGUCAGGAGCC